Molecule: ribosomal RNA, 253 nt
Filed under: uncultured bacterium
Lineage: Bacteria
Description: partial 16S ribosomal RNA
Rfam family: Bacterial small subunit ribosomal RNA
Source: RNAcentral
UACAGAGGGGGCAAGCGUUGUUCGGAAUUACUGGGCGUAAAGGGCGCGUAGGCGGCCUGCUAAGUCGAACGUGAAAUCCCUGGGCUCAACCCAGGAACUGCGUCCGAUACUGGUUGGCUUGAAUCCGGGAGAGGGACGUGGAAUUCCAGGUGUAGCGGUGAAAUGCGUAGAGAUCGUGAGGAAGACCAGUGGCGAAGGCGGGUCUCUGGACAGUUCCUGACACUGAGGCACGAAGGCCAGGGGAGCAAACGGG